GGGGGUGUACCGGUUUCGACAGGCAGGAGUGGUCUUGUGUUGCAGGUGAGGCUCUCAUCUGGUCUCUGAUUCAGGUGAAAAAAAUAACUGCUAAACGUAGAGACGAAGAGUCUGACGAACAGCUCGCUCUUGCUGCGUAAUUGUAGCUGAGCACGGAACUUGUGGGGCGCUGUUCCUAGCACCAUGAUGUUCUGUUACAGACAGGGACUUGCAUUGUACGGUGUCCAGACCGUGCGGUGGACUUUUUCUGGAAUACGGAGGCGACGCUUUUGGGGCUGCUACCGUCUCCCGACAACCACCUCGCCCUAAUAAACCUGUAGAGGCACCUGGUCAGCCUAUCUGGACGGGGGUUCAAUUCCCCCCACCUCCA
RNAcentral lists this transfer-messenger RNA (370 nucleotides) under uncultured Treponema sp. It matches the Rfam family "transfer-messenger RNA". From Rfam's summary of the family: Bacterial tmRNA, also known as 10Sa RNA or SsrA, is named for its dual tRNA and mRNA-like properties. Its role is to liberate the mRNA from a stalled ribosome. Lineage: Bacteria; Pseudomonadati; Spirochaetota; Spirochaetia; Treponematales; Treponemataceae. The record is from RNAcentral.